Molecule: long non-coding RNA, 224 nt
Filed under: Homo sapiens (human)
Lineage: Eukaryota; Metazoa; Chordata; Mammalia; Primates; Hominidae
Description: non-protein coding lnc-ZFP92-2:1
Source: RNAcentral
AUGGAAGUGGUGGAGAUGAUGGAUCAGAUCGUCCACGGGUGUGGGAGGACUCAUCAGGACUGGGCCAGCCCCAGCUCCAGGGGGCCCCAGCCACAGAGCCCAUGGCAUUGUCCAUGAUGCUGCUGAACCUGGCAGAGCAGCUCAGGGAGGCAGACAAGGAACUGGCAGGCAAAUACACAGAGCUGGGGAACUGGUGCACUUGGAGGAUUCUGCAGCUCAUGCAG